AUUCCUUGCAUCUUGGAAGAAACCCUAUUUUAUUGUUAGGUAUUGUUGUUUUGUAGCUUUAUAGAUUUUGUUAGGAUUUUAUUUAGUAUUUUUCUGUCUAUGUUCAUAAGUGAGAUUGUUCCAUAAGUUUUCCUGUCUUAUAUUAUCCCUGAUCAGUUUUUGCUUCAGGUUUAUAUCAGGCUUAUAAAAGGUAGGGGAGCUUUCCAUAACUGCUUUGUAAUGUUUUAUGAACUAAUUUGUAUGUCAUAGGGGUUGGAUUAGAAUCAUUGGACCUAUGAAAAAAAUUAUCAUUUUUUUUUACUGAGGUAAAAGUACAUAUAACCUAAAUUUUACCAUCUAAUCAUUUUUAAGUGUACAGUGCACUGAUAUUAAAUGCAUUCAUAAUGUGAUGCAACCAUCACCAGUAUCCAUCUCUAUAACUCUUUUCAUCUUGUAAAGCUAAAACUUUGUACUUAUGAAACAAUAACCUCCCUCCUUUUAUUUCUCUGAUUCUGGCAAGCACCUUUCUACUUCCUCUCUUUGGUUUUUUACUUCUGGAAUAGCUACUUCAUACUAGUAAAAUCAUACAGUAUUUGACUUUUUGUGACUGUCUUAUUUCGCUUAGCAUAAUGUCUUCAAGGUUCUUCUAUGGAGCCUUUGUCAAAAUUUCCUUCCUUUUAAGCUGAAUGAUAUUAAGUUGUAUGUAUACACCACAUUUUGCUAUUCAUGUAUCCAUUGAGAAAAAACUUGAGUUACUUCAGUGUUUUAUAUUGUAAUAAUGCUGUUAUGAAUAUGGAUAUA
Molecule: long non-coding RNA, 780 nt
Filed under: Marmota monax (woodchuck)
Lineage: Eukaryota; Metazoa; Chordata; Mammalia; Rodentia; Sciuridae
Source: RNAcentral